This 460-nucleotide ribosomal RNA is filed under the name uncultured bacterium. RNAcentral's name for it is "partial 16S ribosomal RNA". It matches the Rfam family "Bacterial small subunit ribosomal RNA", at positions 338 to 795 of the family's 1533-position model. The record is from RNAcentral.
CCUACGGGAGGCAGCAGUGAGGAAUAUUGGUCAAUGGACGGAAGUCUGAACCAGCCACGCCGCGUGCAUGAAGACGGCUCUAUGAUCUGUAAACUGCUUUUGUACAAGGGUAAACCUGAAUACGUGACUUCACCUGAAAGUACUGUACGUAUAAGGAACGGCUAACCUCGGGCCAGCAGCCGCGGUAAUGUGGAGGAUCCAAGCGUUAUCCGGAUUUAUUGGGUUUAAAGGGUGCGUAGGCGGAUUGAUAAGUUAGAGGUGAAAGGUACGGGCUUAACUCGGGAACUGCCUUUGAUACUGGUGGUCUAGAGUGUAGAUGCGGUGGGCGGAAUGUAAUGUGUAGCGGUGAAAUGCUUAGAGAUCAUACAGAACACCGAUGGCGAAGGCAGCUUACCAGUCUAUAACUGACGUUGAGGCACGAAAGCGUGGGGAGCAAACAGGAUUAGAUACCCCUGUAGUC